RNAcentral lists this ribosomal RNA (415 nucleotides) under Acanthamoeba sp. SGC-5. RNAcentral describes it as "SSU rRNA". It matches the Rfam family "Eukaryotic small subunit ribosomal RNA", at positions 746 to 1086 of the family's 1831-position model. The record is from RNAcentral. Lineage: Eukaryota; Discosea; Longamoebia; Acanthamoebidae.
RAAAUGGCCCAGAUCGUUUACCGUGAAAAAAUUAGAGUGUUCAAAGCAGGCAGAUUCAAUUUUCUGCCACCGAAUACAUUAGCAUGGGAUAAUGGAAUAGGACCCUGUCCUCCUAUUUUCAGUUGGUUUUGGCAGCGCGAGGACUAGGGUAAUGAUUAAUAGGGAUAGUUGGGGGCAUUAAUAUUUAAUUGUCAGAGGUGAAAUUCUUGGAUUUAUGAAAGAUUAACUUCUGCGAAAGCAUCUGCCAAGGAUGUUUUCAUUAAUCAAGAACGAAAGUUAGGGGAUCGAAGACGAUCAGAUACCGUCGUAGUCUUAACCAWAAACGAUGCCGACCAGCGAUUAGGAGACGUUGAAUWCUAGCACCACCAUCGGCGCGGUCGUCCUUGGCGUUCGUGUUCACGCACGGCGCGAGGGC